Molecule: ribosomal RNA, 528 nt
Filed under: uncultured bacterium
Lineage: Bacteria
Description: bacterial SSU rRNA
Rfam family: Bacterial small subunit ribosomal RNA
Source: RNAcentral
CAGGGGGAUAAACCAGUUGGAAACAACUGCUAAUACCGCAUAAGCGCACACUGUCGCAUGACAGAGUGUGAAAAUUUCCGGAGGUAUACGAUGGACCCGCGUCUGAUUAGCCAGUUGGCAGGGUAACGGCCUACCAAAGCAACGAUCAGUAGCCGGCCUGAGAGGGUGGACGGCCACAUUGGGACUGAGACACGGCCCAAACUCCUGCGGGAGGCAGCAGUGGGGGAUAUUGCACAAUGGGGGAAACCCUGAUGCAGCGACGCCGCGUGAGUGAAGAAGCAUUUCGGUGUGUAAAGCUCUAUCAGCAGGGAAGAAGAAUGACGGUACCUGACUAAGAAGCCCCGGCUAACUACGUGCCAGCAGCCGCGGUAAUACGUAGGGGGCAAGCGUUAUCCGGAUUUACUGGGUGUAAAGGGAGCGUAGACGGCAAUGCAAGCCAGAUGUGAAAACCCGCAGCUCAACUGGGGGAGUGCAUUUGGAACUGUGUAGCUGGAGUGCAGGAGAGGUAAGCGGAAUUCCUGGUGUAGC